Acanthosepion pharaonis is the source of this 97-nucleotide non-coding RNA. Lineage: Eukaryota; Metazoa; Mollusca; Cephalopoda; Sepiida; Sepiidae. The record is from the annotation of a GenBank genome assembly.
AUUAAAGCAUAGUUUCCGUACUAUCACCGAAGUUAAGCAACUUCGAGCCUCAUCAGUACCUAGAUGGGUGAUCGUUUGGGAACACCAUGUGUUGUAA